UGCAGUCGAGCGCACUGGCCCAACUGAUAUGACGUGCUUGCNCUGAAUUGACGUUGGAUUACCAGUGAGCGGCGGACGGGUGAGUAACACGUGGGCAACCUGCCCUGAAGCGGGGGAUAACAUNAGNAAACAGGUGCUAAUACCGCAUAACAACGAAAACCACAUGGUUUUCGUUUCAAAGAUGGUUUCGGCUAUCACUUCAGGAUGGGCCCGCGGUGCAUUAGCUAGUUGGUAAGGUAACGGCUUACCAAGGCAAUGAUGCAUAGCCGAGUUGAGAGACUGAUCGGCCACAAUGGAACUGAGACACGGUCCAUACUCCUACGGGAGGCAGCAGUAGGGAAUCUUCCACAAUGGGCGCAAGCCUGAUGGAGCAACACCGCGUGAGUGAAGAAGGGUUUCGGCUCGUAAAGCUCUGUUGUUGGAGAAGAACGUGCGUGAGAGUAACUGUUCACGCAGUGACGGUAUCCAACCAGAAAGUCACGGCUAACUACGUGCCAGCAGCCGCGGUA
RNAcentral lists this ribosomal RNA (509 nucleotides) under Limosilactobacillus vaginalis. RNAcentral describes it as "bacterial SSU rRNA". It matches the Rfam family "Bacterial small subunit ribosomal RNA", at positions 56 to 522 of the family's 1533-position model. The record is from RNAcentral. Lineage: Bacteria; Bacillati; Bacillota; Bacilli; Lactobacillales; Lactobacillaceae.